UACGUAGGGCGCAAGCGUUGUCCGGAAUUAUUGGGCGUAAAGAGCUCGUAGGCGGCCUGUUGCGUCUGCUGUGAAAUCCCGGGGCUCAACCCCGGGCCUGCAGUGGAUACGGGCUGGCUAGAGGCAGGCAGGGGAGAACGGAAUUCCUGGUGUAGCGGUGAAAUGCGCAGAUAUCGGGAAGAACACCCGUGGCGAAGGCGGCUCUCUGGGACGGUACUGACGCUGAGACGCGAAAGCGUAGGGAGCGAACAGG
This 253-nucleotide ribosomal RNA is filed under the name uncultured bacterium. RNAcentral describes it as "partial 16S ribosomal RNA". It matches the Rfam family "Bacterial small subunit ribosomal RNA", at positions 524 to 776 of the family's 1533-position model. The record is from RNAcentral.